GUAGGUGGCAAGCGUUGUCCGGAAUUAUUGGGCGUAAAGCGCGCGCAGGCGGUUCUUUAAGUCUGAUGUGAAAGCCCACGGCUCAACCGUGGAGGGUCAUUGGAAACUGGAGAACUUGAGUACAGAAGAGGAAAGCGGAAUUCCACGUGUAGCGGUGAAAUGCGUAGAGAUGUGGAGGAACACCAGUGGCGAAGGCGGCUUUCUGGUCUGUAACUGACGCUGAGGCGCGAAAGCGUGGGGAGCGAAACAGGGAUUAGAUACCCUGGUAGUCCACGCCGUAAACGAUGAGUGCUAAGUGUUAGGGGGGUUUUCCGCCCCCCUUAGUGCUGCAGCUAACGCAUUAAGCACUCCGCCUGGGAGUACGGCCGCAAGGCUG
RNAcentral lists this ribosomal RNA (376 nucleotides) under uncultured organism. RNAcentral's name for it is "partial 16S ribosomal RNA". It matches the Rfam family "Bacterial small subunit ribosomal RNA", at positions 527 to 896 of the family's 1533-position model. The record is from RNAcentral.